ACUGGCGCACGUGAGGCUCUGUGUGACCGCAGCCCCGGGCCGUCUGCAGGGUCUCUGCUCUGAGUGGGAAGCACUAUCCUCUGGGCAGCGAAGAGUUAAGGGGCCGCGCUAAGGAAGUGUAGAGAAAGCUGCAUGUUCAUAUCGCUUGCUCCAGACUGUGCAAUUGCCCACUGGCUCACAUGCAGACGGGCACCGUUUGCGNUGAAGAGUUAAGGGGCUGCACUAAGGAAGUGUAGAGAAAGCUGCAUGUUCAUAUCGCUUGCUCCAGACUGUGCAAUUGCCCACUGGCUCACAUGCAGACGGGCACCGUUUGCGAAAUACUUCCCCUCCGCUAGCUCCGGCGGCCCAUGGAUGGAUUCAGUGUCCCUGCUCUGCUGACAGCCACUCAGCGGGAAGGCCCAGGGCCAGCCGGAGCAGAGGCCAGGAUGCGCCGGAGUCGGACAGCCCUGUCCUUCCUGAGCAUGGAGCGAUCCAGAGAUUCCCCGGACCUCGGCAGCUG
Molecule: long non-coding RNA, 499 nt
Filed under: Gopherus agassizii (Agassiz's desert tortoise)
Lineage: Eukaryota; Metazoa; Chordata; Testudines; Testudinidae
Description: lncRNA (ENSGAGG00000017817.1)
Source: RNAcentral